Molecule: small nuclear RNA, 148 nt
Filed under: Tupaia belangeri (northern tree shrew)
Lineage: Eukaryota; Metazoa; Chordata; Mammalia; Scandentia; Tupaiidae
Description: U1 spliceosomal RNA (ENSTBEG00000018513.1)
Rfam family: U1 spliceosomal RNA
About the family: U1 is a small nuclear RNA (snRNA) component of the spliceosome (involved in pre-mRNA splicing).
Source: RNAcentral
AUUCUUACUUGGCAGGGAAAACACCAUGAUCACGAAAGGUGGUUUUCCCAUUGCACUGUGGGUGUGCUGACCUCUGCGAUUUCCCCAAAUGCAGGAAACUCGGCUGCAUAAUUUGUGGUAGUGGGGAACUGUGUGCCUGCUCUCCCCU